UUCCUUAGAGGAAAAUAGCAACAAACUGGAGGUCAAGAUGGCUAUGAUUUGGUGAUUUCUCCACAGACUAUCUGGGCAAGUUACCCUUCUCUCUGUGAGCCUUGUUUUCCUGACUGGUAAUAUGAAAGGGCUGCCAAAGAUGACUGGCAAGAUUCCCUCCACCUGUAGGCAUUUCUGUGCUUCUCGGCUGUUACUGCUUUCACAGCUGUUACAUAUUUGGUUUGGUUUUUUGGUUUUUAGCCACAUGCUGAGCAAAUUUACCUCCGAGAUAAGCCCGAACACUUUUGAGCAAUGAAUUCCUUAGUAGUGACUUGUGUUCAGUGCCUUGGGAAGCUGCAUGGACCCUUUAAGGCUGUGGAGGGACCACAUUACCCAUAAUUUACUACCAUUCUCUGCGUCCGCACCAGCCACCACAGCACUGGAAUGAGCAUCAUCCUGGGCUCGAGUUUGCCGCUCCAAAGUUAAAAAAAGCCAGGCACAGCUACAUGCUCAGGCUUGCUAAUGAAACAGAAACAGGCACUGCCAGGUUCCUAUCAGUCUCUGAUCCUGCUGUAGAUCACAAACACUGAAUCCUCACGUCACCCUGGCUGCUGCUUUCACUGCUACGUAUCUGCUAUCAACUACUAAAUAUUAUGUGCUGAAUCAAGGGCACUUCUCAAUGACAUCCUCCUGGCUGAGCUCCAUCCCAGAGCUUGCUUCCUGGGAAACGCAACCUGUUGUAGAGUUGCCAGGUAAACUCCAGGAUGCCCAGUUAAAACUUAAAUUGAGAUAAAGAACAAUCGCAACAUUUUUAGUUAGAGAGCAGGAAAAAAUGAGGACCCGACCUUGGACUUGAUCAGAGUUGCCAAGCUCAGAAGAAGGUGAAACUCACAGAGAAGUUCGCUGUACCAAGGUGAGGACCCAG
This is a long non-coding RNA of Herpailurus yagouaroundi (jaguarundi), 904 nucleotides long. RefSeq lists it as uncharacterized. NCBI's taxonomy places the organism in Eukaryota, Metazoa, Chordata, Mammalia, Carnivora, Felidae. The record is from RefSeq and is a predicted model, not a curated record. The transcript is spliced from 3 exons.